RNAcentral lists this ribosomal RNA (19 nucleotides) under Papilio xuthus (Asian swallowtail). RNAcentral's name for it is "partial 12S ribosomal RNA". Lineage: Eukaryota; Metazoa; Arthropoda; Insecta; Lepidoptera; Papilionidae. The record is from RNAcentral.
AAAGUGUUUUUAGAAAGAU